This 26-nucleotide non-coding RNA is filed under the name Rattus norvegicus (Norway rat). Lineage: Eukaryota; Metazoa; Chordata; Mammalia; Rodentia; Muridae. The record is from RNAcentral.
UUCUGAGUUGUCCAGUUGCGUGCAGA